UGUCAGCAGCCGCGGUAAUACGGGGGGUGCAAGCGUUAUUCGGAUUUAUUGGGCGUAAAGAGCGCGUAGGCGGUUUAUCAAGUCAGAUGUGAAAGCCCUGGGCUCAACCUGGGAAGUGCAUUUGAAACUAGUAGACUUGAGUAUGGGAGAGGGGAGUGGAAUUCCUGGUGUAGAGGUGAAAUUCGUAGAUAUCAGGAGGAACACCGGUGGCGAAGGCGACUUCCUGGACCAAUACUGACGCUGAGGCGCGAAGGCGUGGGGAGCAAACAGGAUUAGAUACCCUGGUAGUCCACGCAGUAAACGGUGAUCACUAGGUGUAGCGGGUAUUGACCCCUGCUGUGCCGCAGUUAACGCAUUAAGUGAUCCGCCUGGGGAGUACGAUCGCAAGGUUAAAACUUAAAGAAAUUGACGG
Molecule: ribosomal RNA, 412 nt
Filed under: uncultured Desulfatirhabdium sp.
Lineage: Bacteria; Pseudomonadati; Thermodesulfobacteriota; Desulfobacteria; Desulfobacterales; Desulfatirhabdiaceae
Description: bacterial SSU rRNA
Rfam family: Bacterial small subunit ribosomal RNA
Source: RNAcentral